GGAAAUUUUCUUUCAGUCACUUGGCUCUUGGUCCAAGGUCAUCACAAUCUGCUAUUGAAACACAAAAAGAAUUAGUAGAAAACAUAUUAUCUUUAUAACAGUUAACACAAUAAUCUGGAUUAUUAUUACCUUGCCAAACACUCAUCAGAAGAUUUUUAAUCUUUUCCCAAUUUUAUUGGGAUGCAUUGUUUUUGGCCAUAGUAACAGACAUUUUAUUGCCAUGGCAUUUAGGCCUCUCCAUAAGCCAUAGAGCAAAGGGCUCACUCACAUUAUUCAUUACAUUGUCUUCUAGAACAUCAUUACUUAGUUCUCAUCCUUCCAUCAGCACUUAUCUGACCAUGAAGGAAGUUGGAUGUAAUUUAAGUCAAACAUUAAGAAAAUCCAUACAUUGUAGGUUUUAAGACAUAGCCACAAAGGCCGAAAUUGAAUAAGCAAGGAAUAAUAUUUAAAGUAGUCACUUUAGGGAUUAUGAGACCAGCAGUUUGUGUAGGUCUGGUUAAUAGACAUACACCUGUUUCAAAGCCUGAAUAUUAACUUCAGCAUAUUAUAGUUCUGAAAUAUUAGCUGGCAAUAAUUAAUGAGGCAAUAAGUUGUAUUUUUAUAGGCUACAGGAUAUUUAUCAUUUUUUCUCUUUACUCUCAUAUUUAAGGAGUUAAUUAGGUCUGUCAGUAAUACAAAUACCCUUGGAAAAAUCUAUUUUAAUAAUCUUUCCAACAAUUGUCCAUAAAGGUAAAUGUAGUCUUAGUCACUAAAGUCCAGCAUAAUUGGCUGGCUUGGGUUUUUUAUCUGCUGUCUAGCAUAAGUUUCUGUCACUGGUGUGGUCAAUUUGUUGCUCGGCUAUUUGGCUACCUUGUCACGGGAGCUGGUGAUAACUGACUGGUGAAAAACCUCAAGUCAAUGUCCUGUAGCUCAGUUUCUUUUUGGAAUGUACACAACUGUUACAGGGUUUGAGUGGGUCUUGCCUGUCAAUCUACAUUUGUUAGAGUCUAUAAACAAGUCAAGAUGGCGCCUGGCAUUUUGCAGAGGGAGUGGUUUGUGAAGUAAUGCCAGUGAGCCAUUGUGUGGAGAUUCCUUAUUGGUUGACUGCUGUAUCUAGUUUAUGUUAAUUAAGAUAAGCUGUGUGGAAUGUAUAUAUACCCCUCCUGUCCUACAAUAAACGGCUCCCACUCCUGUAUCAAUGUACACAAGUUGUUU
Molecule: long non-coding RNA, 1194 nt
Filed under: Marmota monax (woodchuck)
Lineage: Eukaryota; Metazoa; Chordata; Mammalia; Rodentia; Sciuridae
Source: RNAcentral